GAUGAACGCUGGCGGCGUGCCUAAUACAUGCAAGUCGAGCGAACAGACGAGGAGCUUGCUCCUCUGACGUUAGCGGCGGACGGGUGAGUAACACGUGGAUAACCUACCUAUAAGACUGGGAUAACUUCGGGAAACCGGAGCUAAUACCGGAUAAUAUAUUGAACCGCAUGGUUCAAUAGUGAAAGACGGUUUUGCUGUCACUUAUAGAUGGAUCCGCGCCGCAUUAGCUAGUUGGUAAGGUAACGGCUUACCAAGGCAACGAUGCGUAGCCGACCUGAGAGGGUGAUCGGCCACACUGGAACUGAGGCACGGUCCAGACUCCUACGGGAGGCAGCAGUAGGGAAUCUUCCGCAAUGGGCGAAAGCCUGACGGAGCAACGCCGCGUGAGUGAUGAAGGUCUGCGGAUCGUAAAACUCUGUUAUUAGGGAAGAACAAAUGUGUAAGUAACUAUGCACGUCUUGACGGUACCUAAUCAGAAAGCCACGGCUAACUACGU
Molecule: ribosomal RNA, 496 nt
Filed under: uncultured bacterium
Lineage: Bacteria
Description: partial 16S ribosomal RNA
Rfam family: Bacterial small subunit ribosomal RNA
Source: RNAcentral